This 3566-nucleotide unclassified non-coding RNA is filed under the name Hevea brasiliensis (rubber tree). The record is from RNAcentral. Lineage: Eukaryota; Viridiplantae; Streptophyta; Magnoliopsida; Malpighiales; Euphorbiaceae.
GCAGAGAGAGGGAGUGUGUUGAGGUGUCUGUGGUCUAUAGGCAUUAAUGGCGGAGACUAAAAAGGAAAAUAAAUCGAGCGAAGAGAGCGUUAAGCUGUUUGUAGGUCAAGUGCCCAAGCACAUGACGGAAGCUCAGCUUCUUGCAAUGUUCAAAGAGUUCGCUUUGGUCGACGAGGUCAACAUCAUCAAAGACAAGACUACGCGCGCCUCCAGAGGGUGUUGUUUUGUUAUAUGCCCCUCGCGUCAGGAAGCGGAUAAGGCCAUUAAUGCUUGCCAUAACAAGAAAACGUUGCCUGGGGUUAGUGCAAAUUUCAGCUUUGUUACUUGUUUUGUACAUUUUGUUCUCGAGUAUCUGGCACAUUGUAGAUUAAAGUUGAUUGGAAUUUUAGCCAUUACACUGUUAAUUACCGAUCUCGGCAUUUUAUUAAGAAAUAAUUAUUGAGUAGUCUCUGAAAGUGGCUGUUUAUGACAAUUUCCUAAUGUAGUUUAGCAGUGAGGUAGUGUAAAUUACUUGGGUUGGAAUUAUUUCUGCAAUUUUUGAUAUGUAGCUGCUCCUUAUUUAAUGCAUGGCAUAACAUGAUAAAUUAGCGACUUUGGUAAUUGUUAAGUUAGUUGGCAAUUACAAAGUCAAUAAUGCUGUUAAAAAAGUCUUUAAGCCUCCACAUGGCAAAUAUGAAGCUUGUAAUGUGCAAUUUGGUAAAGAACUUACUAGAAUAUCUCGGUCACUCUUGCACCUAUCUGUGUGGCACACGCGAAACAGUGCAGUUUUAGGAUGUAUAGAACAGUUAAUUACUGUGAGGUUCAGGGUGCUCAUUUCCCAUUCACAAGGGUAGGUUUGCUAAUUGCAUGGCAAAAGAUUUUGUUAAAGGAGCCGCAAUAUUAGAAUUUUGAUUUGACAAAAUGCAUAUCAUGAUUAGCACAUAGAAAAACACAUUUUGAUAGAUGUGGUGUUUGGAAUGGUAAUUUUUAUAAUCAGGGUGCAGCCUAUCAAAACAGAUGACAAUUGAAAGAGAAGCAGGUGAAACUUUUUGCUCAAAAUGAAGCUAGAUUCCAUUCAUGAUUAAUUAAUACAAAACGAAAAAACAGCCUACUAAAACUCUUUCCAUGGGAAUAAGUUCUGAUGGAAUUGUAGAAUUAUUUGGACACUUUAAGUACUUUAAAUUUGUUUUUAAUGCUAAUGACUACAAAGACAAGGUUACAAUUUCAAUGAAGAAGAGAUGGACCUUUCUUAGUUUAUGAACAUAUUGUGGUCUAAUAUUUGCAGUUUGAAGUCAUCUAGAAUUAGCUUAGGUGGUCAGCAGGAUGAGGCAUUUGGUAGAUACUAUAGGUUCAAAUUAUAGUGAUCUCCUCUUGCAUCAAAAGAGGGGAUAGUAAGAAAAGAUCCUUAAUUGAACUGCAAAAGUCAAUAUUAAUGCAUGAUUUGUCCACAACUACUGUCAUAGAUGCACUCUUAAGCAAUUUGGUACUUUGUUGACCUAGGUAGUACAGUGAAUCAAGCAGCUCAUAUGAGCCAGUUUACUUUUUAACCAGCUGUCAUCAAGAGUUAAUUCAUAAUGCAAUCUCUUUCCAAAGGGCAUAAGGGGGGUUUUAAAUCCACUUAAUUGGAUUAUCUAAUAAAUCAUAUAUAUUGCCCUAUAUCAGUGCCAACUUAUGUUUCUUACUAUUAUUACUCUGAUGCAUCCAUUUCUUUGUCUAUCUAAUUGAAAUGCACCCUAUUCUUUCUGUCCAAUUCAGGCAUCUAGCCCGUUGCAAGUGAAGUAUGCAGAUGGCGAGUUGGAAAGGCUAGGUGUAAUAUAAUUUCAUUGACUGUUUCAUGUAGUUUUCUUUAAGAUGAUUGCUGUAAAUUGCUGCAGUCAAUAUUCUUAUUCCUUAUCUCAUGCUGCUUUUGUAUUCAUUGUUUUGAUCUCUUUGAUUUUGUAUGUUAUGCUUAUUGCAUUUUUGAAUGAUUUUAUACUCUCCUUGCAAUCCAGAACACAAACUCUUUGUUGGUAUGCUUCCAAAAAAUGUUUCUGAAGCCGAGGUAUCUGAGUUAUUCUCUAAAUAUGGAACUAUAAAGGAUUUACAAAUUCUAAGAGGUUCUCAGCAGACAAGCAAAGGGUGUGCUUUUUUGAAGUAUGAGACUAAAGAACAAGCCCUUGCUGCCGUGGCGGCUGUCAAUGGAAAGCAUAAAAUGGAGGGUUCAAGUGUUCCUUUGGUCGUCAAAUGGGCAGAUACAGAAAAGGAAAGGCAGGCUCGGAGGGCUCAGAAGGCACAGUCUCAGGCCUCUAGUCUGCCAAAUGCUGAUUCACCACAUCCUUCAUUGUUUGGAGCCUUGCCAAUGGGGUAUGUUCCCCCUUAUAAUGGAUAUGGAUACCAGGUAAGUUUGCUGCCUCCAAUUUGUUGGCAAAUGGUUCAAACAUUUGCAACACCUAACAAUUGUUUUGGACUUAUCAGUACCUUUUCUUUAUCACUGUCCCAACUUCGAAUAUCUGGAAUCUUGAUUGCUUCUUUUCCUUUUUCCUUCUCGAUCAAACUUCCUUUCAUUUUUUAAAACCAAAUUGGAGUUCAGACUGUGGUUAUGUUGUCCUUGCAGGCUCCUGGAACUUAUGGAAUUAUGCCAUACCGAUUGCCCCCUUUGCAGAAUCAGCCUGCUUUUCAUGGUAUGAUUCCUCCAGUAAAUCAAGGAAAUGCAUUGCAUGGUGGAAUCAGACCUCAUCUUGCCUCCGGUAUGGGCCCUAGAAAUUAUGCAGUCCCUCCUGCAAGUUAUGUUGGCUCUGCUUACGCUGCAGUGCCAGGUGUUCAGUAUCCCAUGGCAUAUCCUGGAGGAAUGAUGAGCCACCAGCCUUUAAGUGGGUCGCCUAGUACUGUACCAGCUGCAGUUACAAGCAGUAAUUCUGCAACAUCUUCAGGUGUCAGUUCAAGUUCUGGGGGUCAAUUAGAAGGUCCACCUGGUGCUAAUCUUUUUAUAUAUCACAUACCUCAAGAAUAUGGUGACCAAGAACUUGCUAAUGCUUUUCAACCAUAUGGUAAAGUCUUAAGUGCUAAGAUCUUUGUAGAUAAAGCAACUGGCGUUAGCAAAUGUUUUGGAUUUGUUAGUUAUGACUCACCAGCAGCAGCACAAACUGCUAUUAAUACGAUGAAUGGAUGCCAAUUAGGUGGUAAGAAAUUGAAAGUUCAGCUUAAGAGGGACAAUAAACUGAGUAAACCUUAUUGAUCAUAAGGUGAGUCAUGGAAGCAAGCAGAAUUCUAUGUGAUACGUGGUCACAUGCAACCUGGAUAUAGGGGAGUGACUGCAGUAUAAGCACUUUGGGAUGGAUUGAUAAUCUGUGGUUAUGUGCAUAUUCCAUCCAUGUAAUUGCUUCAUGGGAUUGAAAUUCCCAAAACUUGUAAUUCACGGUGCAUUCUGCGCCCAUACAAUUUGUAAUUUGUGUACCAUGGAAAUUCUUUAGAGAUCAAUUAUUAAUUUUUUGAUUUUUCCCUCAAGAUCCUCUGUUAAUAUGAUGUUGGUGGAAACAUCUUUGAUUCUUGGUCAUCCCCACACCCCCUCCUCUCUCCCCAUUUUUAUUGUUCAGACUUCAAAGAGUUUU